CCAAUCAGAGUGAAGGGGAUGUUUGAGCCCAGAGAGAGGGGAGCAUAAAAUGACUAAGGAUUUGGGGCUUCUCUCUCUUCACUGCCUCUCUUCUAGCUGACUUCUGCCAGUGUGGACAGGUAUUUACAACUUCAAGAGGACAAGAGGGGUAAGCAUCCAGCAGCUUCUUUGGUGACCAGCUGCGUCACUUGACAGCAGGUUAAAGUGCUCACGAUUGUGCAGAACAAGGAGCAUGCUGAACAGUGAUGCUCCAGCUUAAAAGGACAGAGCUGCAAACAAAGUGUCCCACCAAAUGUGAUGAGUUUUUGAAAACGUGCUGAGAACGAAGAAAGAUCAAAGGUAAUGGCUUCAUCUAGGCAUUCCUGGCCGGAACCCUGAGUACAGAAUGGCGGGAAUAACUGAAUUAGGAAUCCCAGGAGCUGAGGUGUAGCCCCUACUCAUUCGUUCAGUUGUUCCUGGCUUUGAGAUCUGGAUGUGAGAUCAAGGUCAGUACUGCAUCAUUGUUACCCGCCUGGCCCUGCUGUUGCUGGCUGCUGCUUAGUGAGUACACCUCCUUCCCAUCCAAGUGUGAGGCACCAAGGUGAAGGUUUUUCAUGACAAGGGAAAGGCCACGGGGGCAGAUGUGAAAAGUAAUAUCCCCUUCGUAGACUUGUGGGAGGUUUAAAUGCACCUGUUGUGAAGUAUUUACUACACUGCCGGCUGUAUAGGAAAUGGCAAAUAAAUAGAGCUGUCCUGACUGUUAUUAAUAAAUUC
Molecule: non-coding RNA, 753 nt
Organism: Manis javanica (Malayan pangolin)
Lineage: Eukaryota; Metazoa; Chordata; Mammalia; Pholidota; Manidae
Source: RefSeq, a predicted model, not a curated record